RNAcentral lists this long non-coding RNA (5398 nucleotides) under Triticum aestivum (bread wheat). RNAcentral's name for it is "long non-coding RNA (TAES_LNC013154)". Lineage: Eukaryota; Viridiplantae; Streptophyta; Magnoliopsida; Poales; Poaceae. The record is from RNAcentral.
GCAUCCCCAAGCUUAACUCCUACUCGUCCUCGACUAGGUAAGUGAUAAAAACAGAAUUUUUGAUGUGGAGUGUUGUUCAUCAAGUCAUAUCAUAUUCUUUUAUUUAUAGCAUGGACAAUUGGACUUUUAUGUGAUUCAAAGCAAUAGUCUAGUUUUGACAUAAUAAUUUAGAUACUCAAGCAUAUCAACAAGCAACCAUGUCUUUCAAAAUAUAAACGCUAAAAUAAGUUAUCCCUAGCCCAUCAUGCUCAAACAUUGGUCCAUUCAUGAAACACACUCGAAUAUUAACUACACCCAAUACUUGGGCAAGAUCAUAUUGCCUCCUAGUUGGUGCUUUUAUAAGAGAAGAUGGAGACUCAAAUUCAAAAAAUAAAAAUUGCAUAAAGGAAAAGAAAGGCCCUUCGCACAGAGAAGUAGGGAUUUGUAGAGGUGCCAGAGCUCAAAGCGAAAAAUUAGAGAUAAAAACAUUUUGGGAGGUGUAUCCAUCCCACCAACGAAAACGACUCAGAGUUCCGAACACUUUCCAUGCUAGAUACGCCAUAGGCGGUUCUCAAACAGAAAAUAAAGUUUAUUCCUUUUUCCACCAUACUUUCACUUUCCAUGGCUAACCGUAUCCACGGGUGCCCUCCAUACCAACACUUUCCAAGGAAUUUAUUAUUUGACAACAUAAAGUAAAUUCAUUUUUGCAUUUCGGGACCGGGCAUCCCUAAAACCUUUGCCUUACUCUUGUGCAAUGACAAGUGAAUAAACACUGAUCUUGAGAAUAACACAUCUAGCAUGGAAAAUAUUAGCCACCCGUUACCGUUCCGCGAGCGAAACAAACACACAAAAGAGAAGUUUAUUUUGAAAUUAGAGAUGGCACAUGCAAAUUUGUUUAGAACGGCAAAAGAAUACCGCAUAUAGGUAGAUAUAGUGGACUCAUGUGGCAGAACUGAUUUAAAGGAUUUUGGAUGCACAAGUAGAGGUCAUACUUAGUGCAAAAUGAAGGCUAGCAAAAAGAUUGAGAAGCGACCAACCAAGAAACGAAUAAUCUCAUAAGCAAGCAUUAAGCAUAAUUAACACCGAAUAAUGCACCAUAAGUAGGAUAUAAUUUUCAUUGCAUGAUUAUUGACUUUCGUGCAUGCAUAGGGAAUCACAAACCUUAACACCAAUAUUCUUACUAGAGCACAAUUACUCAUCAACAUAACUCACAUAUCACAUCAUCAUAUCUUAAAACUAUUACUAAGAAUCAAGUUUAUUUUGUCCAAUGAUCUUCAUGACAUUUUUUCUUUAUCCUUCUUGGAUAUCUAUCACUUUGGGACUAAUUUUUAUGUGUUGCUUUUCAUAAGCUUAAACAAAUAUAAGUGAAGAUCAUGAGCAUAACAAUUUUUUCUUUCUCUCAAAAUAAUUUAAGUGAAGCAAGAGAGAAUUUCUUCAAAAUUUUACUAACUCUCAAAUAAAUCUAAGUGAAUCAAGAGAGAAUUUCUUCAAAAAUAACAAAGCACACCAUGCUCAAAAAGAUAUAAGUGAAGCACUAGAGCAAGUCCUAGCUCAUAAAAGAUUUAAGUGAAGCAUAGAGAGCAAUUCUAACAAGUCAUGAAAUAAUUUUAGCUCUCUCAAAUAGGUGUGUCCAGAAAGGAUUGAUGACUUAAAACACAAAAUAAAACAAGCAAAGACACAUAUCAUACAAGACAAUCCAAGCAAAACACAUAUCAUGUGACGAAUAAAAAUAUAGCCUCGAGUAAAAUACCGAUAGUUGUUGGAAAAAAGCGGGGAUGCCACUCGGGGGCAUCCCCAAGCUUAGUUGGUUGCUCAUACUUGGAUAAUAGCUUGGGAUGCCGGGGCAUCCCCAAGCUUAGGCUCUUACAUCCUUCCUUCAUCCAUCGUAAGAUAACUCAAAAUUUGAAAACUUCAAUCACACAAAACUCAACAAAACCUUCGUGAGAUCCAUUAGUGUAAGAAAAAUAAAUCACUACUAUAAGUGUUGUAUCAAACCAAUUCAUAUUUUGUUUUUCUAUUAUAUCUACUGUAUUCCAACUUUUCUAUGGCAAAAACUCAUCAAAGAAAACCAUAGAGCCAUCAAAAUAAGCACACAAUACAAAGAAAACAGAAUCUGUCAAAACAGAACAGUCUGUAGUAAUCUAAUUUUUUUGAAUACUUCUGGAACUCCAAAAAUUCUACCAAAAUAGGACGACCAGGGUAAUUUGUAUAUUAAUCUUCUGCAAAAAUAAUCAGGGAAAAAGCUCUUUUCUGUGAUUUAUGAAAAUUAUUUUCGCGAGCGCAAAGUUUCUGUCUUUUACAGCAAGAUCAAACAACUAUCACCCAAGAAGAUCCUAUAGGCUUUACUUGGAACAAACACUAAUUAAAACAUAAAAAUCACAAUCAUACCAGUAGCAUAAUUGUGUAAACACACAAGAACAGAAAUCAAAAAGCAAAAAUAAAUUUUAUUCAUUAGGUUGCCUCCCAACAAGCGCUAUAGUUUUACGCCCUUAGCUAGUUUUGUCAUCCUUCUUCUUCUUAAUUUUCUUGGGGGUAUUUUUAUCAGGAGGUUUUGUAAACACAACCUAAAACAUAUUAUCCAUAGAAACUUAAGCAUUCCUUAGUUGGUUUUCAUCAUAACCCCUUUGAUUUCCCGCUACAAUCCAAGAGUAGUGUUGAUUAACAUCAUUAAAAACUUGUUGGAUUAUUUCUAGAACAGGAACCUCCUUUUUAAUAUUAUCAUCAAAGAUCUUAUUAUCCCCAAGCAAAUGUCUUAGUGCAUAGUCACUAUUGUAAAGAAUUUCAUCUAUCACAGGUUUUUCAUGAUUCAUACCAUAAGAGUCAAAGAUUUCCCUAGCUUCCCGAAUUAUGUAGUCGAACUCGUUCAUAAGAACGAGAGUGGCCAACUUUUUGGCUCUAGGGUUCUUUAUUUCGGGAAGCUCAAAAAACAAUCUUUGCAAAGUAGGAUGAGUGCGGAUAAAUUUACUUUCAAGUUUCAGAACUAGUGCUGAAAUAGCAUCUGCAUAAGAUCUAGUAGUUUUAAGUAUAGGAGCAUCAUCAAGACUUAGAUUUCCAACACAAUUGAGAAAUUCUUGGAUACGUUCUUUUCCCAUAACGUUCCCUUGCCCCAAGAUAAAAGUUUUAGCAUCCAGAUUGCAUGUACAUCCAAUAUUAGGAGUCGGGCCAUCAUCUGUUGGUGCCAUACCGAAAUCGCUCAUGAUUGCAAGCAAAGAAUAGAUCUGACGAGAAAAUGGUGAACGGAAAAAGAGAGGCGAAAAACGGCAAAUUUUUGUGAAGUGGGGGAGAGGAAAAGGAGAGGCAAAUGGGAAAUAAUGUAAAUUGCAAGGAGAUGUGAUUUGUGAUUAGGAACCUGGUUAUGUUGAAGAUCCUCCCCGGCAACGGCGCCAGAAAUUCUCCUUGAUGGUAGCUGAAACUACGUCGGUAUUUCCCUGGAGAGGGAGGGAUGAUGUAGCACAGCGAUGGUAGGUAUUUCCCUCAGUUAUGAAACCAAGGUAUUGAACCAGUAGGAGCACCAAGCAACAUAACGUAAACAACACCUGCGCACAAACAACAACACCUCGCAACCCGACGUGUUAAAGGGGUUGUCAAUCCCUUCCGGGGUACGGCGCCUCAAGAUAGGCAAGCGGACGUGAGGUUAAUUGUAGUAGAUUGAUAGAUCGAACGCCAAAUAAAAUAAAUAGAGAUAAAACGCAGCAAGGUAUUUUUGUGUUUUUUGGCUUAAUGGAUCUGAAUAAAAAUGCAAAGGAAAAGUAGAUCGCAAGGCAAAUAUAUGAGCAAGAAGACCCGGGGCCGUAGGUUUCACUAGUGGAUUCUCUCGAGAAAAAUAGCAAACGGUGGGUAAACAAAUUACUGUUGGCCAAUUGAUAGAACUUCAAAUAAUUAUGACAAUAUCCAGGCAAUGAUCAUUACAUAGGCAUCACGUCCAAGAUUAGUAGACCGACUCCUGCCUACAUCUACUACUAUUACUCCACACAUCGACCACUAUCCAACAUGCAUCUAGUGUAUUAAGUUCAUGGAAAAACGGAGUAAUGCAAUAAGAACGAUGACAUGAUGUAGAUAAGAUCCAUUUAUCUAUAUGGCGGUAGAUAUAGAUCUCGUCUUUUAUCCUUAGUAGCAACGAUACAUACGUGUCGGUUCCCUUUCUGUCACUGGGAUCAAGCACCGUAAGAUCGAACCAACUAUCGGGCACCUCUUCCCAUUGCAAGAUAAAUAGAUCAAGUUGGCCAAACAAAACCCAAAUGUCGGAGAAGAAAUAUGAGGCUAUAAGAGAUCAUUCAUAUAAGAGAUCAAGGAAACUCAAAUAACUUUCAUGGAUAUAAAAACAUAUAACUGAUCAUAAACUCGAAGUUCAUCAGAUCCCAACAAACACACCGCAAAAGAGUUACAUCAUAUGGAUCUCCAAGAGACCAUUUUAUUGAGAAUUCCGCGAGAGAGAGGAAGCCAUCUAGCUACUAACUACGGACCCGAAGGUCUACAAAGAACUACUCACGCAUCAUCGGAGAGGCACCAAUGGAAGUGGUGAACCCCUCCGUGAUGGUGUCUAGAUUGGAUCUGGUGGUUCUGGACUCUACGGCGGCUAGAUGAAUAUUUCGUCGACGCUUCUAGUGUUUUGGUAUUUUUGGGGUAUUUAUAGAUCAAAGAGGCGGUCCGGGGGGCACCCGAGGUGGGCACAACCCACCAGGGCGCGCCCUGGUGGGUUGUGCCCCCUCGGGGCACCCCCAGGUGCAACCAAGGCCCAUUGCCUUCCUUCUGGCCCAUAAAAAUUCAUCGUGGAGUUUCGUGGCAUUUGGACUCCGUUUGAUAUUGAUUUCCUGCGAUGUAAAAAACAUGGAAAAAACAGCAACUGCCACUUGGCACUAUGUCCAUAGGUUAGUACCAAAAAAUGAUAUAAAAUGACUAUAAAAUGAUUAUAAAACAUCCAAGAUUGAUAAUAAAACAACAUGGAAUAAUCAAAAAUUAUAGAUACGUUGGAGACGUAUCAGCAUCCCCAAGCUUAACUCCUACUCGUCUUUGAGUAGGUAAGUGAUAAAAACAGAAUUUUUGAUGUGGAGUGUUGUUCAUCAAGUCAUAUCAUAUUCUUUUAUUUAUAGCAUGGACAAUUGGACUUUUAUGUGAUUCAAAGCAAUACUCUAGUUUUGACAUAAUAAUUUAGAUACUCAAGCAUAUCAACAAGCAACCAUGUCUUUCAAAAUAUCAACACUAAAAUAAGUUAUCCCUAGCCCAUCAUGCUCAAACAUUGGUCCAUUCAUGAAACACACUCGAAUAUUAACUACACCCAAUACUUGGGCAAGAUCAUAUUGCCUGGUGCUUUUAUAAGAGAAGAUGGAGACUCAAAUUCAAAAAAUAAAAAUUGCAUAAAGUAAAAUAAAGGCCCUUCGCAGAGAGAAGUAGGGAUUUGUAGAGGUGCCAGAGCUCAAAG